UGCAAAUAUUCAAGAGUCAUAAGUGGUUGGAUAGUGCAUUUUGUUUGGAAAGGAGAACAUUCUCAAUUUUGAUGGCCCAUUGCAUUUGUAGAAUGAUAUAAAUAUAACUUCAGGGUACAAAAAAGUAUCUGGUUUGAAGUAACUAAGCUUUCUAUUGCUCAACAAAAGUCUUAAAGCUCUCUUUUACAAUGUGUCUUAUGAAAGUGGAAUGCAAAGUACUGGUAGACAACUGUGCUUGAUCAAUCUCCACUCCAUAGAAAGCAGAUUCAAGUGAAGAUGACUUUUAGCCCCUUAGGUUAAAGAAUAUACUCCUUGUUAUUCCCACUGAAAAUUUGUUGCAACGUUACAAUUUUUCUACUGUGGUCUCAAGGUGACACAUCAUUAGUCCAAUACUCUGACCAGCGGAAUGGUUUGAGAAAUUCUUAGCCUGAUAUUCUAAUCACAGGUUACUACAAUUCGUGGUGGGAUUUUUGUUAAGUGUGUCGGGAAAUUAAAUGAGUUCUUUCUGACGAGCGCUUGGAAUUGAUGUCGAUGGGUAAACAUUCCCUUUCCGGUUCCCUCGCCAACCCUCUUCGGCCUUAAUAGAGUUGGUACGAUGUGGGAUCAUUACACAACGUCCUUACCAAACAAAAAUGGCGGAUGGGACGUCUUUGAAGAAAGCAUCAAAAAGUGAACUGUUUUCGUGGGGGGCAAACAGCUAUGGACAACUUUGUUGUGGCCACAAGAACGAUGUCUCAUUUCCGGAAAACGUCGGUGCAAGUUGUCACCUAAAAAACAGUGUUGUAGCGGCGAUAGACGGAGGUGGAGGACAUACAGCAAUUAUCACAGUGAUGCUGUUCAGUGAUUUACUAAGAUCAUGAGCGUAAAGGAAGUGAUCGCCAAGCUGUGAUUGUUGAACAACUUGUCCUUAUUAGUACCAAAUAAAAUGUAUUGGGAAGAGUGUAGAGAAUAUGGGUACUGAUGUUAGGAUGUAAAGGUUAAAGGAGCAUGAUUCCUUCAAAAGAAGACACGUCAGUUGUAUUUCAGAUCCUUUGAUGACACUUUGGAUUAAACGCCAUUUUUUCUGGAUUAUGACCAUUUAGGGAGGGAGUUUUUGAAAUCACAGGACCUGAAUCAGGUACUGUGGUAAACACCAAGUUAAGUACUAAGUUGGAUCUUUCCAUAUUCUUCUUCUUGUAGAUAAUUUUGUGCAUGUAAUUCAUCUGUAAGCAAGACGUCCACCCAUUUUCUUUGUUGUUCAAUGCAAUUUUCUCUCUCUUUCAUAGAGCGAGAGCCCACUGUGUUCCCAGCAAAUGCUGGCCUAAAAGUAACGCUCUGCUCCUGUACCAUACUUUUAACUGUGCUUUGGGGUAAAUAAAUAGCAUAGUUGCAUCCAUAGUCCUUCAUGGAAAAUCACAUAUCAUAUCUUUAAGAAAGGAGAAUCUGAUGCCCAAAAAUGAGUUUGUAGUUGCACAAGUAGAUGUUAAAUCCCUAAGUCAACUUGGUCAGCUCCAGAGCAUUACUUAUCACCAUUUUUCUGAUUAGCUUUAUUUUUAUUAUUAUUUCUUGCAUCCUUUGCCUUUUGCGUUAAUUUUCAAUAAAGUCUACAAGUCCUCAGCCUCUA
Pocillopora damicornis (cauliflower coral) is the source of this 1603-nucleotide long non-coding RNA. The record is from RefSeq and is a predicted model, not a curated record. Lineage: Eukaryota; Metazoa; Cnidaria; Anthozoa; Scleractinia; Pocilloporidae.